This 253-nucleotide ribosomal RNA is filed under the name uncultured bacterium. RNAcentral's name for it is "partial 16S ribosomal RNA". It matches the Rfam family "Bacterial small subunit ribosomal RNA", at positions 524 to 776 of the family's 1533-position model. The record is from RNAcentral.
UACGUAGGGGGCGAGCGUUGUCCGGAGUUACUGGGCGUAAAGGGCAUGCAGGCGGUCGGACGCGUUUCGGGUGACAGCGGGUGGCUUAACUACCCGAGUGGUCGAAAGACGGUUUGACUUGAGGACGCGAGAGGGACACGGAAUUCCGGGUGGAGUGGUGAAAUGCGUAGAGAUCCGGAGGAACACCGAAGGCGAAGGCAGUGUCCUGGGGAGUACCUGACGCUCAGGUGCGAAAGCCAGGGGAGCGAACGGG